This 457-nucleotide ribosomal RNA is filed under the name uncultured bacterium. RNAcentral's name for it is "bacterial SSU rRNA". It matches the Rfam family "Bacterial small subunit ribosomal RNA", at positions 28 to 485 of the family's 1533-position model. The record is from RNAcentral.
GACGAACGCUGGCGGCGUGCCUAACACAUGCAAGUCAACUUGACUGAAGGAGCAAUCUGACAGUAGAGUGGCGCAAGGGUGCGUAACGCGUAAGUAACUUGCCCAAGGUAAGGAAUAACGUCGAGAAAUCGGCGCUAAUACCUCAUAAUGCAGCGGAUCCGCAUGGAUAUGUUGUUAAAGGUUUACCGCCUUGGGAUAGGCUUGCGUCUGAUUAGCUAGUUGGUGUGGUAACGGCACACCAAGGCUACGAUCAGUGACUGGUCUGAGAGGAUGAUCAGUCACACUGGAACUGAGACACGGUCCAGACUCCUACGGGAGGCAGCAGUGAGGAAUAUUGGGCAAUGCUCGAAAGAGUGACCCAGCAACGCCGCGUGGAGGAUGAAGGUAUUCUAUAUCGUAAACUCCUGUGAGAGCAGACGAAAGACAGAUUAUUAAUCUGGAUGACUGUAUGCUCAGA